AGUGAACGCUGGCGGUAGGCCUAACACAUGCAAGUCGAACGGCAGCACAGUAAGAGCUUGCUCUUACGGGUGGCGAGUGGCGGACGGGUGGGGAAUACAUCGGAAUCUACUUUUUCGUGGGGGAUAACGUAGGGAAACUUACGCUAAUACCGCAUACGACCUACGGGUGAAAGCAGGGGACCUUCGGACCUUGCGCGAUUGAAUGAGCCGAUGUCGGAUUAGCUAGUUGGCGGGGUAAAGGCCCACCAAGGCGACGAUCCGUAGCUGGUCUGAGAGGAUGAUCAGCCACACUGGAACUGAGACACGGUCCAGACUCCUACGGGAGGCAGCAGUGGGGAAUAUUGGACAAUGGGCGCAAGCCUGAUCCAGCCAUACCGCGUGGGUGAAGAAGGCCUUCGGGUUGUAAAGCCCUUUUGUUGGGAAAGAAAAGCAGCAGGUUAAUACCCCGCUGUUCUGACGGUACCCAAAGAAUAAGCACCGGCUAACUUCGUG
This 492-nucleotide ribosomal RNA is filed under the name uncultured bacterium. Its description in RNAcentral is "partial 16S ribosomal RNA". It matches the Rfam family "Bacterial small subunit ribosomal RNA", at positions 29 to 507 of the family's 1533-position model. The record is from RNAcentral.